This 73-nucleotide transfer RNA is filed under the name Spirochaetaceae bacterium. RNAcentral describes it as "tRNA-Gln". It matches the Rfam family "tRNA". Rfam says of the family: Transfer RNA (tRNA) molecules are approximately 80 nucleotides in length. Their secondary structure includes four short double-helical elements and three loops (D, anti-codon, and T loops). The record is from RNAcentral. Lineage: Bacteria; Pseudomonadati; Spirochaetota; Spirochaetia; Spirochaetales; Spirochaetaceae.
UGGGACGUCGGCAAGCGGCUAAGCCACCGGGUUUUGAUCCCGGCAUUCGGAGGUUCGAAUCCUCCCGUCCCAG